Molecule: ribosomal RNA, 460 nt
Filed under: uncultured bacterium
Lineage: Bacteria
Description: partial 16S ribosomal RNA
Rfam family: Bacterial small subunit ribosomal RNA
Source: RNAcentral
CCUACGGGUGACAGCAGUGAGGAAUAUUGGUCAAUGGGCGGAAGCCUGAACCAGCCAAGUAGCGUGCAGGAUGACGGCCCUACGGGUUGUAAACUGCUUUUAUCCGGGAAUAACGCGCCUUACGUGUAGGUCUUUGCAUGUACCGUAUGAAUAAGGACCGGCUAAUUCCGUGCCAGCAGCCGCGGUAAUACGGAAGGUCCGGGCGUUAUCCGGCUUUAUUGGGUUUAAAGGGGGCGUAGGCCGCAUGUCAAGCGUGCUGGGAAAUGGCCGGGCUCAACCCGGGCCGUGCAGGGCGAACUGGCGUGCUUGAGUCCGCGGAAAGCAGGCGGAAUGCGUCGGGUAGCGGUGAAAUGCUUAGAUAUGACGAAGAACUCCGAUUGCGAAGGCAGCAUGCUGCAGCGGAACUGACGCUGAUGCUCGAAAGCGCGGGUAUCGAACAGGAUUAGAUACCCUUGUAGUC